RNAcentral lists this ribosomal RNA (236 nucleotides) under uncultured bacterium. Its description in RNAcentral is "partial 16S ribosomal RNA". It matches the Rfam family "Bacterial small subunit ribosomal RNA", at positions 567 to 793 of the family's 1533-position model. The record is from RNAcentral.
GACGCAUGCAGGCGGUCUCGUUAAGUCAAGAUGUGAAAGACCCGGGGCGUCAACCUCGGAACAGCAUUUUGAAACUGGCAGACUAGAGUCUUGUAGAGGGGGGUAGGAAUUUCAGGUGUAGCGGUGAAAUGCGUAGAGAUCUGAAGGAAUACCGGUGGCGAAGGCGGCCCCCUGGACAAAGACUGACGCUCAGAUGCGAAAGCGUGGGGAGCAAACAGGAUUAGAUACCCUGGUAG